This 400-nucleotide ribosomal RNA is filed under the name uncultured bacterium. Its description in RNAcentral is "bacterial SSU rRNA". It matches the Rfam family "Bacterial small subunit ribosomal RNA", at positions 355 to 752 of the family's 1533-position model. The record is from RNAcentral.
UGAGGAAUAUUGGUCAAUGGGUGCAAGCCUGAACCAGCCAUCCCGCGUGAAGGAUUAAGGUCCUAUGGAUUGUAAACUUCUUUUGUAUAGGGAUAAACCUUUCCACGUGUGGAAAGCUGAAGGUACUAUACGAAUAAGCACCGGCUAACUCCGUGCCAGCAGCCGCGGUAAUACGGAGGGUGCAAGCGUUAUCCGGAUUUAUUGGGUUUAAAGGGUCCGUAGGCGGACUUAUAAGUCAGUGGUGAAAUCCUGUCGCUUAACGAUAGAACUGCCAUUGAUACUGUAAGUCUUGAGUAUAUUUGAGGUAGCUGGAAUAAGUAGUGUAGCGGUGAAAUGCAUAGAUAUUACUUAGAACACCAAUUGCGAAGGCAGGUUACCAAGAUAUAACUGACGCUGAGGG